AUUGAACGCUGGCGGCAGGCCUAACACAUGCAAGUCGAGCGGAUGAAGGGAGCUUGCUCCUGGAUUCAGCGGCGGACGGGUGAGUAAUGCCUAGGAAUCUGCCUGGUAGUUGGGGAUAACGUCCGGAAACGGGCGCUAAUACCGCAUACGUCCUGAGGGAGAAAGUGGGGGAUCUUCGGACCUCACGCUGUCAGAUGAGCCUAGGUCGGAUUAGCUAGUUGGUGGGGUAAAGGCCUACCAAGGCGACGAUCCGUAACUGGUCUGAGAGGAUGAUCAGUCACACUGGAACUGAGACACGGUCCAGACUCCUACGGGAGGCAGCAGUGGGGAAUAUUGGACAAUGGGCGAAAGCCUGAUCCAGCCAUGCCGCGUGUGUGAAGAAGGUCUUCGGAUUGUAAAGCACUUUAAGUUGGGAGGAAGGGCAGUAAGUUAAUACCUUGCUGUUUUGACGUUACCAACAGAAUAAGCACCGGCUAACUUCGUG
Molecule: ribosomal RNA, 484 nt
Filed under: uncultured bacterium
Lineage: Bacteria
Description: partial 16S ribosomal RNA
Rfam family: Bacterial small subunit ribosomal RNA
Source: RNAcentral